AGCUUUGAGUGGUGACAGUAUCAUAGCUAAUGAGGUUUAUCUGAGGCACAAUUAUUGCUAAUUGAAAACUUUUCUAAUACCCCACCGUGAGGACUUGAAGAAGGGUCUUUGCAGAUGUGACUAAAUUGAGGAUUUUGAGAU
Phyllostomus discolor (pale spear-nosed bat) is the source of this 141-nucleotide small nuclear RNA. RefSeq annotates it as U4 spliceosomal RNA. The transcript has a single exon. NCBI's taxonomy places the organism in Eukaryota, Metazoa, Chordata, Mammalia, Chiroptera, Phyllostomidae. The record is from RefSeq and is a predicted model, not a curated record.